Molecule: ribosomal RNA, 492 nt
Filed under: uncultured bacterium
Lineage: Bacteria
Description: partial 16S ribosomal RNA
Rfam family: Bacterial small subunit ribosomal RNA
Source: RNAcentral
AGUGAACGCUGGCGGUAGGCCUAACACAUGCAAGUCGAACGGCAGCACAGUAAGAGCUUGCUCUUACGGGUGGCGAGUGGCGGACGGGUGAGGAAUACAUCGGAAUCUACUUUUUCGUGGGGGAUAACGUAGGGAAACUUAUGCUAAUACCGCAUACGACCUACGGGUGAAAGCAGGGGAUCUUCGGACCUUGCGCGAUUGAAUGAGCCGAUGUCGGAUUAGCUAGUUGGCGGGGUAAAGGCCCACCAAGGCGACGAUCCGUAGCUGGUCUGAGAGGAUGAUCAGCCACACUGGAACUGAGACACGGUCCAGACUCCUACGGGAGGCAGCAGUGGGGAAUAUUGGACAAUGGGCGCAAGCCUGAUCCAGCCAUACCGCGUGGGUGAAGAAGACCUUCGGGUUGUAAAGCCCUUUUGUUGGGAAAGAAAAGCAGCAGGUUAAUACCCCGCUGUUCUGACGGUACCCAAAGAAUAAGCACCGGCUAACUUCGUG